GCCUUCGCGGUGUAGUGGUCAGUACGCUCGACGCGUAACCCAGAGGUCCGUGGUUCGAUUCCCGGCGACGGCA
RNAcentral lists this transfer RNA (73 nucleotides) under Stegodyphus mimosarum. It matches the Rfam family "tRNA". Rfam says of the family: Transfer RNA (tRNA) molecules are approximately 80 nucleotides in length. Their secondary structure includes four short double-helical elements and three loops (D, anti-codon, and T loops). Further hydrogen bonds mediate the characteristic L-shaped molecular structure. tRNAs have two regions of fundamental functional importance: the anti-codon, which is responsible for specific mRNA codon recognition, and the 3' end, to which the tRNAs corresponding amino acid is attached (by aminoacyl-tRNA synthetases). tRNAs cope with the degeneracy of the genetic code in two manners: having more than one tRNA (with a specific anti-codon) for a particular amino acid; and 'wobble' base-pairing, i.e. permitting non-standard base-pairing at the 3rd anti-codon position. Lineage: Eukaryota; Metazoa; Arthropoda; Arachnida; Araneae; Eresidae. The record is from Rfam by way of RNAcentral.